CGUUAAAACACUGGUUCAUGUCCGAUCACCAAAGUUAAGCAACAUUGAGCUUGGUCAGUACCUAGAUGGAUGACUGCUUGGGAAUACCAGAUGCUGUAAG
Non-coding RNA from Acanthosepion pharaonis, 100 nucleotides. The record is from the annotation of a GenBank genome assembly. Lineage: Eukaryota; Metazoa; Mollusca; Cephalopoda; Sepiida; Sepiidae.